Molecule: ribosomal RNA, 490 nt
Filed under: uncultured Gammaproteobacteria bacterium
Lineage: Bacteria; Pseudomonadati; Pseudomonadota; Gammaproteobacteria
Description: bacterial SSU rRNA
Rfam family: Bacterial small subunit ribosomal RNA
Source: RNAcentral
GCCUUCGGGUUGUAAAGUACUUUNNNCAGUGAGGAAGGGUGUGAAGUUAAUAGCUUCAUAUCUUGACGUUAGCUGCAGAAGAAGCACCGGCUAACUCCGUGCCAGCAGCCGCGGUAAUACGGAGGGUGCGAGCGUUAAUCGGAAUUACUGGGCGUAAAGCGCAUGCAGGUGGUUUGUUAAGUCAGAUGUGAAAGCCCGGGGCUCAACCUCGGAACCGCAUUUGAAACUGGCAGGCUAGAGUACUGUAGAGGGGGGUAGAAUUUCAGGUGUAGCGGUGAAAUGCGUAGAGAUCUGAAGGAAUACCAGUGGCGAAGGCGGCCCCCUGGACAGAUACUGACACUCAGAUGCGAAAGCGUGGGGAGCAAACAGGAUUAGAUACCCUGGUAGUCCACGCCGUAAACGAUGUCUACUUGGAGGUUGUGGCCUUGAGCCGUGGCUUUCGGAGCUAACGCGUUAAGUAGACCGCCUGGGGAGUACGGUCGCAAGAUUA